Non-coding RNA from Anolis carolinensis (green anole), 117 nucleotides. The record is from Rfam. NCBI's taxonomy places the organism in Eukaryota, Metazoa, Chordata, Lepidosauria, Squamata, Anolidae.
UUUUGGGUUUCUAAUAUUAUAGAGGCAUCCAAUCUCAUCUGAUCUUGGAAUUUAAGUGGGUGAGUCCUGGUUAGUACUUGGACGGAAGAUCAUAAUGGAAUACUAGGCACGGUAGGC